RNAcentral lists this long non-coding RNA (1378 nucleotides) under Manihot esculenta (cassava). RNAcentral's name for it is "long non-coding RNA (MESC_LNC004531)". The record is from RNAcentral. Lineage: Eukaryota; Viridiplantae; Streptophyta; Magnoliopsida; Malpighiales; Euphorbiaceae.
AACAUUUGAACCCCGGCGGUGGAGUUUUCCCACAAUCAACGAGGACCUCAAGUGCAAUGGGUAUGAUGAUAUUGAUGUUGAGAAGCUUAGCUUUAAUGGUGGUGCAAAGACACAAAGCAGCAUCCAAGUCCACAAGCCCUUGAAGCACUGGACAGCAAGCGUCCUUAGCACUACUGCCGACACCAAUGUGUACUAGACCACCUAGGACGUCGACACAUGCUCCUAGCUUGAGAGUGUCAAUGGGGCAAGUCUCUUGCUUUGGCGGUGGUGGUGGGCAUGGCACUGGAGGUGGUGGAGGAGGAGGGCAUGGCGUUUCAGUUGGUGGUGAUGGUGGUUUUACAGGUGGGGUCACUGGAGGCUUUGGUGGUGCUGGGGUUACAGGUGGACUUGGAUAGUAGGGUGGCGUUGGAGUUACCGGAGGCUUUGGUGGUAAAGUUGGUGGUGUUGGGACCACCGGAGGUUUAGGUGGUAAAGUUGGUGGCGUCGGGACCACCGGAGGCUUUGGUGGCAAAGUUGGUGGUGUUGGGGUCACCGGAGGCUUUGGUGGUAAAGUUGGUGGUGAUGGGGUCACCGGAGGCUUUGGUGGUAAAGUUGGUGGUUUCGGUGGGUAAACGAUAGGCGGUUUUGGAUAAUAUGGUGGCGGUUUUGGUGGUAAAGUUGGUGGUUUCGGUGGGUAAACGAUAGGCGGUUUUGGAUAAUAUGGUGGCUUUACAACAGGAGGUUUGGGUACCAAAGGUGGCGGCUUUACUACAGGAGGUUUUGGCACAUAGGGUGGGUGAACAAUUGGAGGCUUGGGUGUGAUAGGUGGUUUAGGCACAUGUGGCGGUUUGGGCGUGGUUGGUGGUUUCACAAUGGGUGGCUUGGGUACGUGCGGUGGUUUGUGGACAGGAGGCUUGGGUAUAUAGGGUGGUUUGUGAACAGGAGGCUUGGGUGGUUUUGGUGGUUUAUGGUGAGGAGGUGGCUUUACCUUUGGGGGAUGUUUGGGUGGAAAUUUGGGAGGAUAUUUGGGUGGCUUAGGUGGUGGAGUUGGGUAAGGACAGUAAGGGCAAGCAAGAGAAGAAAGCAAAGUACCAAUGUGGAGGAGGAUGAUCAAGAGAUUUCCGAAAGCAUAUUUCGCCAUCUUUACUCUUCUAUCUCAGUACUGAAUGAAGCUCAUAGCCUUAUUAUAUAGUGAGAAAUUAAUAUGAAAAAAUAUAUUUUAAUUAAAAAAUAAAUAAAAACUAUAUAAGAAUUGUAUAAUUUAUUUCAAACAGUAGAUAAAUGAAGAUGUUAACAUCCCUCAUCUGAUUAUAAGCUGAGUUGGCUUCAGCUUUAAAUCUAUGUAAUUAUAGAAUACAACCUGAAGAUAUCUUCUUCUACUCAUAAAUUUGGGAUACAU